RNAcentral lists this ribosomal RNA (460 nucleotides) under uncultured bacterium. RNAcentral's name for it is "partial 16S ribosomal RNA". It matches the Rfam family "Bacterial small subunit ribosomal RNA", at positions 338 to 795 of the family's 1533-position model. The record is from RNAcentral.
CCUACGGGAGGCAGCAGUGAGGAAUAUUGGUCAAUGGACGAGAGUCUGAACCAGCCAAGUAGCGUGAAGGAUGACUGCCCUAUGGGUUGUAAACUUCUUUUAUAUGGGAAUAAAACGUUCCACGUGUGGGAUUUUGUAUGUACCAUAUGAAUAAGGAUCGGCUAACUCCGUGCCAGCAGCCGCGGUAAUACGGAGGAGCCGAGCGUUAUCCGGAUUUAUUGGGUUUAAGGGGAGCGUAGGUGGAUUGUUAAGUCAGUUGUGAAAGUUUGCGGCUCAACCGUAAAAUUGCAGUUGAAACUGGCAGUCUUGAGUACAGUAGAGGUGGGCGGAAUUCGUGGUGUAGCGGUGAAAUGCAUAGAUAUCACGAAGAACUCCGAUUGCGAAGGCAGUUCACUGGACUGCAACUGACACUGAGGCUCGAAAGUGUGGGUAUCAAACAGGAUUAGAUACCCUUGUAGUC